This is a small nucleolar RNA of Myotis daubentonii (Daubenton's bat), 128 nucleotides long. RefSeq annotates it as small nucleolar RNA SNORA24. Lineage: Eukaryota; Metazoa; Chordata; Mammalia; Chiroptera; Vespertilionidae. The record is from RefSeq and is a predicted model, not a curated record.
CUCCAUGCAUCUUUGGGGCCUGUCAACUGUGGCCGUCUCCCUUCCUAGCUGUGGAAGAGCAUUUCCUUGUUUAUUGGCAAAGCUGUCACAUAACUGGUAUCAGAUUCUGACUUGCACACGUAACAUUC